This 835-nucleotide long non-coding RNA is filed under the name Mus spicilegus (steppe mouse). RNAcentral's name for it is "lncRNA (ENSMSIG00000003156.1)". Lineage: Eukaryota; Metazoa; Chordata; Mammalia; Rodentia; Muridae. The record is from RNAcentral.
GUGAGAUUUUAGGCCAAAAAGCAAUAAAGACUCCUGUGUGUUAGUUCUUAAGGAGUUGUACUUCCAGCCUGCUGAUAGCUGUCAUUCUCAUAACCUCUGAAGAAACACGUACUCCACACACUGGCUGCACACACACAGAUCGGCUUGAGAAGCUGUAUGUCAGGGAUCACAUAGCCUUUCUUCUGCUCUUGUGUUCAGUUGACUGGUAGUUCUUCGCAAAUGAAUGAAUGCUACUAAAUGACCAGUUGAAUAAGAUUUCCUCAACUGGGCAAUUGUUGACAAGGAUAACCAACUUGCUCUGCCCUGUUUGAUCAUCUUCAGAGUCUGUUUGCUUCCCAGAACAUACUUUCAACUUCUUAAAACAAGUUGGAGCCUAAAGUUGAAUUGAUCUACUCCAGAGACUUUUUCCUCUUCUUUGGGGCCACCAUCUUCCUUCAUUAGGUAUGUGUCAGUCCCCAACUAAGAUCAACAUGGCCAAGGAGUGAGAGAAGGCCAAGCCUUUUGAAACUCAGCUAGCUUUUUAUGACGAAGAAGCCAUGACUUGGUUCUGAAACACCUCCUCCUCCUCAGCUCAGUGUUCCUUCUCCUUGGUGUGAUGGUAUGCCUCCUCUACAGGUCUGCAUGACAGCUGUUUCCAACAAACCUCUAUCUCACUGACAACCUCGGGAACAUUCUCCUUCACUCCCAGUCCUGGCACGUGCUCCUGCAUAGACCUCUUCCUCACCACAUGCUCACACAGAACAAUUAUACUCAGUCUGCCACAUCCCCGACGACGGUCACUUCUCAGUCUACAUUGGUUGUACCUUCCCUUCACAUCUCUCAAUAAGUAUCACAU